Molecule: ribosomal RNA, 253 nt
Filed under: uncultured bacterium
Lineage: Bacteria
Description: partial 16S ribosomal RNA
Rfam family: Bacterial small subunit ribosomal RNA
Source: RNAcentral
CACGUAGGGGGCGAGCGUUGUCCGGAUUCAUUGGGCGUAAAGGGCGCGCAGGCGGCUCGGAAAGUCGGGUGUGAAAACUCGGGGCUCAACCCCGGGCGUGCAUCCGAUACUGCCGGGCUUGAGGCAGGUAGGGGAGAUCGGAAUUCCUGGUGUAGCGGUGAAAUGCGCAGAUAUCAGGAGGAACACCGGUGGCGAAGGCGGAUCUCUGGGCCUGUCCUGACGCUGAGGCACGAAGGUCAGGGGAGCAAACGGG